Molecule: long non-coding RNA, 639 nt
Organism: Haliotis rubra (blacklip abalone)
Lineage: Eukaryota; Metazoa; Mollusca; Gastropoda; Lepetellida; Haliotidae
Exons: 4
Source: RefSeq, a predicted model, not a curated record
UCUAUUUUUAGUAUCAGGUUAACCAGCAGUGAUAUAACUCCCGGGUAGUACAUAAAGCGUCUACGUUGAAACCUUGCCCCAGAACACCAGACGCUACAUAGCCGGGUACACCUCGGACAGCGACUGUGAUCAUACAAGGAGGAUAUACCUGUGUGUUUGUGUGUUAUUCUGGGCUACUGUAGUCCAUCAUGAGUCCAGGCAGGUGAACUGUUCGAGGGAAUAACAUGGAGGACGGGAGUACUACACAGUCCCGUGUGAUGUAUACAGGAAGGAUUACUAAGGAGGCAUUAGAAGAAUACUUGGAACGUAGGAGACAACGCUUGGUAAGUACCUUUAUCAGACACUUCAUCCACCUACCAUACAGUGUACCAGAUCAGUAAUAGUACAUGUCAGCUGACAGGAGAAGUGCAGUAUGGUGUAGUGUCUGUGUACCUGUAGUUGUAUAACAGUGGCCUAAUGUUACCAGCCGGUGUCCCGUAAAUAUGCCAGAGAUGUUUCGUUUCACCUCAGCACAUCUACAGUUUCGUUCGCAUAUGGUUUUCAACUUCUUUAUUCCUCCAAUAAAGUUUUUUUUCUGUGUGUGUGUUAGCUGUAAACUGUUUCAAAUGCUUAAUAAAAAUACUAUUAUCUGUGUCGAAA